Molecule: long non-coding RNA, 12430 nt
Filed under: Citrus x clementina
Lineage: Eukaryota; Viridiplantae; Streptophyta; Magnoliopsida; Sapindales; Rutaceae
Description: Citrus clementina (C. clementina) long non-coding RNA (CCLE_LNC000795)
Source: RNAcentral
AAGAUAUAAUAGAUUUUAUAUCAUACAAGUGAAAAAUCAUAUUAAGAUAACUUUCAAUAUACAGUAGCUAAUGUUUACUAAACACUUUAAUGCUGUAGUUUUUAAGUUACAAUUGUCCAAUCUCAAUUCCAAACAGACCCGAAAUCAAUGAUAUCGAAUUGGCUACACAACUUUCUGCUCUUGAUCUCAAUGUGCACGGAAAAAAGCAUGGAGAAGUUGCUAACCAAUCACUUUUUUUUUUUUUUGCUAAUUAAUAUUUUUAUUAGCUAAUGAAAACAUCAGCUAAUCAAUUAAUCAUUAUAUAUAUACAUGCAGUUGCAGAAUGAAGAUGAAGAACUUGCUAGAGCUAUCAAAGAAAGCCUCAAAAUCAUCUUAAAAUUCAAAAGGCAGUGAUUCAUCGGAAAAUUAAGUUAAAUUUUUUGAUAAAUUGAAGAAUUUUUCACAAUUAAUUAUUAACUAAAAGUUAAUUUUACAUGAAAUUUUUGAAUAAAUGACUUCACAUUAAUUGAUUGUUCCACUCCUUGGUUCACGUCUAGAAGCUCUAGUACAAUAGAUUGUGAUGUUUGCAAUAAGGAGGUAAGUAUAUAUAUAUAACAUGUUAAAUGCAAGGGAAAAUGACACCAAUACUCUCAAAUUUUAAAAAUAGAUACAUCAAUGAUCAAUCCUCUCAAAUUUGAUCCACAAUAGUUGACGCCGCGCAUGGUGCUUGUCCAUUCUCAUUUUGUGAAACUGAUCAUGCCACCAUGCAAACUUUAAAAAAUUUAAUAUGUUGGAUAUUCCGAACAAAUGAAAAGUACUUAACUGUAACACCCCAAAUCUAACACGUGCUGAGCACGUGAAGAAGGAGGUUACUAACAAAUCAUAAUCUUUACUCAUAAAUUUCAAACUGAAAUACCCCCAAUUCUUAUUCAAAAAAAAAAUCCACAAAUUCACAAGUCUAAUACUAAAUAAUCUCUCCCGAGGACAUAAAAAUAAUAACAAAAGUCUCAAACUCCAAAUUACACGUUCAUAAUAGAAAUAACUAAAUAGAAACACGAGUCUAUUCCUCCUCUUAUUCAAAUGGCAAACGGAAACGGAAAAUUACUACUUCAAAGCUAAGCGCACCUCUCAAAAGAGACUUAAUCUGCAAAAAGUAAUGACGAGGGGUGAGCCGUCAACUCGGUAAGUAAAACCAUUUCUAACACACUAGGCCUAUCAAUACCAAAAAUAUUGCAAGCCUUCUUUUAAUUAAAACAUAUAUUAUAAUCCAUAAUUUUCAUAAAACGAUAUAUCACGAUAAUAUAACAUAAAUUCUUAAUAAUUCAGAAUAUUCAAAAGCAUAUUUACUUACGAAGCAAAUCAUAUAAUACGUAUACAGAAAAUAAAAUGUUAGCUCACGUCACAUAGUGUCACCUAUAGUCCCGGUGACCCGGCCAGAAACAGAAUCAGAAUAUCGUGUGCACACUCAGAACAGAGACCCAGUAUUGGUCCAGACAGAUAUAUCAUAUAUUACGAUCAGAAUCAGAAUCAGAAUAACUAUGGACAAUGGGCCAAAACAUUAGGAAUCUCAUACAAUCAUCAAUAAUUGAAAUCAAACAUGGGUACAAAACAUUCGUAUCAAAUUCAUAAAAGUCCAUAUCAAUAAUUUAGGCUUGCAUAAUAUUUUAAAGAUAAAAUCAUAAAAAGUUGUCAUGUCAUAAAAUAAUUUACAUAUUAAAAAGCAUUUAUAAAAUACUUUGUUAAAAAGAAUUUAGGUUUGAAAACAUUUACAUAAAACUAAUUUUGUUAUCAAAAUCAAUUAAUCCUUUAAGUAGUAUAAAAACAUUUAUACUUAUAAUAAUAAUAUCAAAAUACUUAUACAUAUCCAGUAUACUAGGAAUGAAGUUACUUACCGAGUUGACGGCUCACCCCUCGUCAUUACUUUUGCAGAUUAAGUCUCUUUUGAGAGGUGCACUUAGCUUUGAAGUAGUAAUUUUCUGUUUCCGUUUGCCAUUUGAAUAAGAGGAGGAAUGAACUCGUGUUUCUAUUUAGUUAUUUCUAUUAUGAACGUGUAAUUUGGAGUUUGAGACUUUUGUUAUUAUUUUUAUGUCCUCGGGAGAGAUUAUUUAGUAUUAGAUGUGUGAAUUUGUGGAUUUUUUUUUUGAAUAAGAAUUGGGGGUAUUUCAGUUUGAAAUUUAUGAGUAAAGAUUAUGAUUUGUUAAUAACCUCCUUCUUCACGUGCUCCGCACGUGUUAGAUUUGGGGUGUUACAAUUGUGGUAUCAGAGCGCUAGGAUAGGAUUAUGUAGACUUUCUUUGAAAGUUUAAUUAGAUUGUCUAAUAGAAUUGAUUUCAUUUGUAUCUUGUGUGUUUGCCCGUUAUGCCGAUGUGCCUAUCACACCACUAGAUGUUCACGUGACAAUUAGUACCCCUAUGGGGGAUUGCCAGUUAAUAGAUCAUGUCUAUAAGUCAUGUGUGAUCAGAUUGUGUGAUAGAGAAUUCCUUGUGGAUCUCCAACCUUUAGAGAUGCACGAUUUUGAUUUGAUUUUGGAGAUGGAUUGGUUAGGACCUUACCAUGUUUCAAUAGAUUAUUUUGCUAAGGAAAUUAUUUUCCGCCUACUUGACGAGGAAUAAUUUCAUUUUCAAGGGAAUCAUAGAAGUCAUAAAGGUUUGAUUUCUAUGGUUAAGGCAAUGAAAAUGCUAAAGAAAGGGUGUGAAGGAUUUUUAGCGUAUAUAGUGAAAUGCAAGUAACGCAACCCAAGAGGGGGGGUGAAUUGGGUUUUUAAAAAUUAUGCAAUACAAUUCGCACAACAAAUCAAUCUAACGCCUUAAUGAAAUAGAAAACAAUAAAUUCAAACAAGCAUAAAAAUAAAAGAGUAAGGGAAGAGAAAAACAAACACACGGAUUUGUACGUGGUUCGGCAAUCCCCGCCUAUGUCCACGCCUCCAAGCCAACCAAGCUCGAUUAUUUCACUAUCCAAGCCUCCCAAGACUUCAAGUUCUUACAAUUGACUUCCAAGGUGUCAAUGAACCUUUACAAUCAAGAGAUUAUCUCCCCAAUCUCUUUACCCCAAGUGUUUCUCACACUUAUACACUCACAAUUUGAUAAGUAAUGAAAAUUAUAACAAAAACUCUCUUUAAGAGUGGAUAUACAAAUAAUAGCUCAACAAUGAUUCAAUCAAUGAUGAUUUACGUUUUGGAAGCUCAAUAUAUGUUAUAUGAUCUUAUAUUUGCUUGUAUUAGUUCUGAGAAUGAAGUUUGAGUUGAGUUUUUAUAGUUAAAGCCCGAAAACUAGCCGUUAUGGGCAAAUUCCCGCGCCCAAGCGGUUAGCCGCUUGAUUUAUCCGGUUAGCCGCUCAGGAACAGUGAUAUUACCGUUAUUUUUGAAUUUACUACAGUAUCACUGUUCACUAAAAUUAUAUUUCGGCCUAAAACUUUCUAUAAUUAUAAUACGGCCCAAAACGUCAUAAAACUUUUUAAAUAGGUCCAAUUUCAGAAAUUCUUAAAAAUAAUUCUUUUACCAAAACUUUAUGCAAUUAUGAUAUGACCCCAAAGAUAUUAUUAUUUCGCAAAAAGGUCUUAUUCAACAAAUAUCCAUAUUUUUCAAAGUUCUCAAAACCUUUCACUUUAGUCUAAAAUAUUCAUAAAUUAUAGUAUGGCCCAAAAAAUUUCAAAUGUUUGUAAAAAUGUCCAACUUCGAAAUUUAAUAAUAAUACUUAUUAAAAUCAAAGAUUUCAAAAACUUAGCAUUUAAGUCCAAAUUACUCAAAUUUACAAAAUACUUUACUUUAUAAAAAUAAAGUCUUUUAGUUUAUGAAAAGUAUUUAAUUAAAUUAAUCUCUUGAGCUUCUCAAAUGCUAAAUCAUGCAUCAAUUAAAUCAUACCAGUUUUACAAGAAUUUAUCGCACUAAUUUGUUCGUUGAGCUCUAAACUAUAUUCUUGAUGUUGCCGUUGUCCGUUGAGUGUCUUCAAUCUUGAUUUCACUUGAUUCAAUUGCAUAAAUAUUAUCCUUAAAAAACUAGUGAAAAUGUGAAAUACAAUAUUUAUUAUUUUUACUUAAGACACAUGUUUGUUAUCAUCAAAAUUACAUUAUGUGUAGCCCUUUAGGCUAACAAUCUCCCCCUUUUUGAUGAUGACAAACAUCUCAUGUAUUUUGACAUUAAACUCCCCCUUAAUACAUGGCAUACAUGACUUCAACUUAUAAAUAAAAUUUAAGAACAAACUCCCCCUAAAUAUAUUAUCUAUAACAAUUUGUAAACUCCCCAUUAAUAUUUCAUAACCGUGCACAAAUACUUUAAGAUCAAAAUACAUAUUAUAUGUCUUCAUAUUCAAAAUACAUGAUCUCUCCCCUUUCAUCAUCAAAAUUACUAGAAAUUAAUGCUAAGACCGAUAAUAUGUUAAUGGAUAAUCGAGAAACAUGAAUAUAUGGCCAAUUAAAAAUUUUAACCAAAAUGAUAUUAUCCAAAACCUUUUCAUAUUUAUCUCCCCCUUUAUAAGAAAAAUAAAAGAUAGAUAUAUGCAAUUUGAAACAAGAUCAUCAAAAAUAAUUCAAUGAAGAUAUUACCCAUUUUGUGCGAGCAAAAAUUUCGGCAGAGUCUCCCCUUAAAAAUAAACAAAUCCUCAAAUACACAACAUGGUUAAAAAUAAAGGUGGCCAAUGGGCCGGGCGGCACGUGGCACGGCACGGGCACGGCACGGCACGAGCACGUUUCGGUAAGGCACGAGGCACGGCACGGCACGCACGUGGGCCGUACCGGGCCUAGAAUUUUAGGCACGCGAGCCUUAAAGCACGGCACGAUUAGAGAUGGGCCAAAGCACGGCACGCGAAAAAGCACGUAAUAAGCACGGUUCAUUAGUGGGCUAGCACGCGGCCCGUGAGCCAUUAAUAGCACGUGGGCCAAAAUAUAUCUAAGUAAAUUUUUUUAACAAAAAGUAAAUAUAAAAUGUUAUGAAAUUAAAUGUUUUAAUAUAUUUUUUAGCAUAGACUUUUAAAAAUUAAUUUAAAUCAUUAAAUCUUAGUUUAAAUAAAUGAUUUGUUAUAUUAAUAUUUCGUAGUUAUGACUUAUUGUAAUGAUUAUUCGAGGAUUGUAUUUUUAAUUUUAAUUAAUUAUUAUUAUGAUCUAUGGAAUUAUUAAAUUUAUGUAUUGUUGUGUUAUGAAUUAUGAUUGAUUAUUGUGAAAUAAAAUAUAUAGUUGUGAAAUUGUGAUAAACUAAUAAUAAAAUGUUAAUUGCUCUCUUAAUAAAAAUUAAUAUGAUUAUGAUUGUGAAUAUUAUUAUUAUUAUUAUUAUUAUUAUUAUUAUUAUUAUUAUUAUUAUUAUUAUUAUUAUUAUUAUUAUUAUUAUGAUUAUGUUGGUGGGCUUAAAAAAGCACGUCAGGCACGUGGGCUUGAAUAAAGCACGCUAGGCAUGUGGGCUUUUUAAAGCACGCUAAAAAAAAGAAAAAGUUGGUGGGCUUUUUUUGGGCACAGCCCACGGCACGGCAUGAGCACAGCACGAGCGGGCUCGUGCCGUGGGCCGUGCCGGGCUCAAUUGAAAAAAAUGUAGGCACGGCACGGCCCAUUGGCCAUAGUUAGUUAAAAAUACUUUCAUAUAAACUUAAACAAUUAUAACAAACCAACAACUCCAUCAAUUCUUCAAGCGACACACAUAUAAUCAUCAAUCAUCAAAUUCAAUAUGAAUUCCCCUAACACUUGAAACAAGUUUAUCCAAGGAUCCCAUAAUCAUAUUCGAAUAAAAUACCUUAACUAAAUUUUCAUAGUAUUGCUCCUUAAUAACUAAAACAUUUUUCCAGCCCAUAGCGAUGAGAAAAUAACUAAGAGAUUUGUCACAAAUUUUUAAAAUUUUCAAAUUACGAAGAUUAACAAAAUAGGGAGCGAUAACCGACCUCGACAUAAAAUUGUCGUGAAGCCGUUUCCAAAGAAGUAGAUGCUGAAAGUGGGUUGAUAUGAACUCCGUAUUAUCUCCAUAAUCGUCCUUGCGUCUCUUGGCAACUUGUUUGCUCUUGGAUUUUUCACCACCCACCAUUGUUGGAACAAAAACAAGCUUAAAGAUCCAAUUUCGGGUUUACAAAAAAUUGAGUGAAAUGGAUUUGUUUGAGCCAAGAAAAUCGAUCCUAGAGAUGAAUGAAGCUAAUAUAUGAUGUAGAUUGGAUAAAAAAUGGGCUAAAGGAAGCUUGAAAAUGAAGAGAGAGAAACGGGUAGAGUAAGGUUUUUUAUUUUGGGUUUUAUGUGGAGAGUUGAUGAAAUAAAGUUUUAAGAACGAAAAUUGAAGGAGUGAUGAAUAAAUAAUGAUUUGGAUGAUUGAUUUUAACAAGAAAAUGAGUAAAAGAUGAAGAAAUUUGAGAGACAAAUGGAGAAGUAUUGUUCACGCGUGAGAGAUGAUGAUGAAAUGAUGAAGAACAAGUGAAGAAAUGAUGAUUGGGAAGUGUUUAAUGAGAGGUUAAAUACAUGGGCAAUGGUUUUAAAGAUUUGAUCUUGCCAUGAAAAAGAGUGAGAAAUGAAGAAAUAUUAAGUGGAAAUGCAGGGGAUAUGUUCGGCUUUGAGAGAGAAUGGAGAGAGGUUGAAGAACACAUGAAAAAGAGGGGGAAAAUCUCUUAAACCCGUGACCAAGCAGCUAACCGCUUGGGGGCAAGCGGCUAGCCGCUUGCUCUCGAGUUUGAGCAGAUUUCAAGCGGCUAGCCGCCUGGUUUCUACUCCUCUGCACCAAUUUGCUGUCCGGCUGAAAUUUGAGCAAUCCGGAGACCAUUUCGUGAUCCCGAAACAUCUCAAGAGCCAAUUGUAACACCCCAAAGAUUAUGAUUUGUUAGUAACCUCCUUCUUCACGUGCUCCGCACGUGUUAGAUUUGUGAUUUUGGGGAUGGAUUGGUUAGGACCUUCCCAUGACGGUUUCUGUGAUUUUUAUAAAAUAAAAUACUAAUCAGAAAAUUAUGAAAUUAAAACUGGGAAUCCUAGACAAAUAUUUUAACCUACAUAUAAACUUUCAGAAUUUUCCGAGUUCAUUUGGUGGUACAAAUAAUCUUGUGAAUCCGAUCGCAAUGCUAGAAUUGCAGUUUUCCAGUGCAGUGGUUUCUAUUUCGUAAAUACAUAUAAAAUUGAAAACGAAGUCGAAUUUAAUGAAAUAAAAUUUUCUCAAGAAGCCCUACAUGUCUAGUUUCCAGAAAUAUAAAUUUUAUAAGAAAACUCGUUCAGAAAAUAUAGGUUUAAAUUCAAGAUACUCACGCUGUCCAGAAUUAUCCUGUGCUUAAUACGUCAAGGAUUGAUUAACUAAACUCAUAAUAAAACAAAACCCUAAACAACACCUAAAUACAUUCUAAAUCAUGCAUUAUGAUCUAUAACCAUCUAGAAUCGUGCCAAUAUAAACCCUAGAUAGAGUGAUUAGAAAUCUGUUGAGAAUAGGGAGAAUAACUUACCCGUCGCUUUGAUUCUCUCCUAAACAAAUGUUUGAAUCCUAGGAUUUGGGUAGGAGUGUAAAGAGCAGUAGAGAAGCAGAAUAAACGUCGUGGACUUAGGGUUAUGGAAGGGGAAAAAGUAUGCAUUUAUAGGGAGUCUUAAGAAACCCUAUUUAAUAAGAAAAAAAUAACCCUUUUUCAAAACUAUCUCAUAAAUAACCUCUAUUUAUAAUUUAGUAUCCCUUUCUUAAUAAGGGUUAUAGGCCACCCAUAAUUAUCAAUAAAAGCCCAAUUUCCAUAAUUUAAUAUUAUGGAAAUUUGUGGCGUUACAAUUUUUUGUGGCGUUACAAUUUCUCCCCUCCUAACAAAAAUUUCAUCCUUGAAAUUAAAAGGUUACCUUACGCAUGGAAGAGUUAAGGAUACUUCUCCAACAUUUCUGUUUCUCGCUCCCAUGUGGCUUCCGCAAUAGAAAGAUUCAUCCAUCGUACCUUCACUAGGGGAAUAACUCUAUUCCUUAAUACUUGUUCGUUUCGAUCGACAAUCUCAAUGGGUUGUUCCUCAUACGACAUGUCUUCAAUUAUCUGAAUCGGUUGAUAGUCUAGCACAUGUGAAGGGUCUGCAAUGUACUUUCUUAACACAGACACAUGAAAUACAUUGUGAAGCCUAGACAGACUUGGUGGUAAAGCUAUGCGAUAGGCCACCGGACAAAUUCUCUCUAAAAUCUCAAACGGUCCAAUAAAUCUAGGGCUAAGCUUCCCUUUCUUCCCGAACCGAAACACCCCUUUCCAUGGCGAUACUUUCAAGAAAACAAAAUCUCCUUUUUCAAAUUCCAACUCACGUCUACGACGAUCUGCAUAACUCUUCUAUCUGCUCUGAGCUGUUUGAAGAUGUUCUCUAAUCAACUUGAUUUUAUCAACAGUAAUCUGUACUAAUUCUGGACCCAAAAGUUUUCUUUCACCAACCUCAUCCCAGCAAAUUGGGGACCUACACUUUCUUCCAUAUAAUGCCUCAAAUGGUGCCAUGCCAAUACUCGAAUGGAAGCUAUUGUUAUAAGCAAAUUCGAUCAACGUUAGGUGCUCUUCCCAACCACUACUCAAGUCUAGUACACAAGCUCGAAGCAUAUCCUCAAGGGUUUGAGUAGUCCUUUCGGAUUGUCCAUCUGUCUGUGGAUGGAAAGUAGUGCUAAAUCUCAAUUUCGUCCCCAACUCUUUAUGUAAGCUAGCCCAAAAUCUUGAAGUGAAUAGUGGAUCCCUAUCAGACACUAUUAAGACUGGAACUCUAUGAAGCCUUACUAUCUAUUUAAUGAAUAACUUAGCUAGUUGCCCUACAUUGUCUGUACUCUUCUUUGCCACGAAAUGAGCCGAUUUCGUCAAUCGAUCGACAAUUACCCAAAUGCAAUCACAUCCCCUCCUAGAACGAGGUAAUCCAGAGACGAAAUCCAUUGUUAUGUGUUCCCAUUUCCACUGAGGAAUAGGAAGCGUUUGUAAAGUUCAUGCUGGUCUUUGAUGUUCGAUCUUAACUUGUUGGCAGACUAAACAUCGAGACACAAAAGCAGCAAUAUCUCUCUUCAUAUUCCUCCACCAAAAACUCUGCUUUAGAUCACGAUACAUCUUAGUACUACCAGGAUGCAUACUGUAAGAUGAUUCAUGCGCUUCUCUUAAGAUUUCUCCCUUCAACUCUUCGUCUGCUGGCACGCAUAGCCUUUGCCCCAACCAUAAUGCAUCCCCAUUAUCAAGUCUAAAUCCGGGCUUAUGUCCUUUGUUCACAUCUUCACGGAUUUUAUUGAGUUCUAUGUCGUUCUUUUGAAAAAAUUGAAGGGAAAUAGAUAAAGUUAAGGAUUUGAUUUUAUUUUAGGAGGGGAGAAAUUGUAACGCCACAAAAAAUUGUAACGCCACAAAUUUCCAUAAUAUUAAAUUAUGGAAAUUGGGCUUUCAUUGAUAAUUAUGGGUGGCCUAUAACCCUUAUUAAGAAAGGGAUACUAAAUUAUAAAUAGAGGUUAUUUAUGAGAUAGUUUUGAAAAAAGGUUAUUUUUUUCUUAUUAAAUAGGGUUUCUUAAGACUCCCUAUAAAUGCAUACUUUUUCCCCUUCCAUAACCCUAAGUCCACGACGUUUAUUCUUCUUCUCUACUGCUCUUUACACUCCUACCCAAAUCCUAGGAUUCAAACCUUUGUUUAGGAGAGAAUCAAAGCGACAGGUAAGUUAUUCUCCCUAUUCUCAACAGAUUUCUAAUCACUCUAUUUAGGGUUUAUCGAAAAUAUAGGUUUAAAUAUGUGUCUAGGAUUCCCAGUUUUAAUUUCAUAAUUUUCUGAUUAGUAUUUUAUUUUAUAAAAAUCACAGAACCCGUCAUGGUAAGGUCCUAACCAAUCCAUCCCCAAAAUCACAAAUCUAACACGUGCGGAGCACGUGAAGAAGGAGGUUACUAACAAAUCAUAAUCUUUACUCAUAAGUUUUAAACUGAAAUACCUCUAAUUCUUAUUUUUUUAAAAAUCCACAAAUUCACACGUCUAAUACUAAAUAAUCUCUCCCGAAGACAUAAAAAUAAUAACAAAAGUCUCAAACUCCAAAUUACACGUUCAUAAUAUAAAUAACUAAAUAGAAACACGAGUCUAUUCCUCCUCUUAUUCAAAUGGCAAACGGAAACGGCAAAUUACUACUUCAAAGCUAAGCGCACCUCUCAAAAGAGACUUAAUCUGCAAAAAGUAAUGACGAGGGACAAUUGUAACACCGCAAAUCUAACACAUGCGGAGCACGUGAAGAAGGAAGUUACUAACAAAUCAUAAUCUUUACUCAUAAGUUUCAAACUGAAAUACCUCCAAUUCUUAUUAAAAAAAAUCCACAAAUUCACACGUCUAAUACUAAUUUAUAAAAUGUGUGUAAAUUAGUAUUAAAUUGUAUGGAAGAAAUUCACAAUUCACAAUUCUUGUGUCCUUUGUUCACAUCUUCACGGAUUUUAUUGAGUUCUAUGUCGUUCUUUUGAAAAAAUUGAAAGGAAAUAGAUAAAGUUAAGAUUUUAUUUUAUUUUAGGAGGGGAGAAAUUGUAACGCCACAAAAAAUUGUAACGCCAUAAAUUUCCAUAAUAUUAAAUUAUUAUGAACAAGGGUUAUACUUAUAAUAAAAACAUUAAUCCUUUAAGUAGUAUAAAAACAUUUAUACUUAUAAUAAUAAUAUCAAAAUACUUAUACAUAUCCAGUAUACUAGGAAUGAAGUUACUUACCUCGACAAAUGAAUUUGAAUAAACACAUCUCUAAGCUUCUAAGAGCCUCAAUCACCUUCAAUACCUUAAACAAAUACAAGAUAUGACAAUUAAUAACUUAUUCUAAGAAUCUGAUUUUCUAAUUCAUACCUGUACAAGUCUGAUUCUCAGAAUUUUAACUCUUAAUCUAAAACUCAGAAUGAUAUAAUAUUCUAUGAAACUAUUCUGGACAUCCAUGAGUACCCCAUGUAAAAUUUGCAAGAGGAUUCGAUAUCAAAAGCAUUUUCAAAACUAUUUAUUUCUCAACAAAUUCGAAAUUGUUUUCACAUAAUCUAAACCAAACAGAACGGGUUUUGUGAUUUUUAUAAAAUAAAGUACUAAUCAGAAAAUUAUGAAAUUAAAACUGGGAAUAUCCCAGACACAUAUUUUAACCUACAUAUAAACUUUCAGAAUUUUCCGAGUUCAUUUGGUGGUACAAAUAAUCUUGUGAAUCCGAUCGCAAUGCUGGAAUCGCAGUUUUCCAAUGUAGUGGUUUCUAUUUCGAAAAUACAUAUAAAAUUGAAAACGAAGUCGAAUUUAAUGAAAUAAAAUUUUCUCAAGAAGCCCUACAUGUCUAGUUUCCAGAAAUAUAAAUGUUAUAAGAAAAAUCGUUCAGAAAAUAUAUGUUUAAAUUCAAGAUACUCAUGUUGUCCAGAAUUAUCCUGUGCUUAAUACGUUAAGGAUUGAUUAACUAAACUCAUAAUAAAAAAAAAACCCUAAACAACACCUAAAUACAUUCUAAAUCAUGCAUUAUGAUCUAUAACCAUCUAGAAUCAUGCCAAUAUAAACCCUAGAUAGAGUGAUUAGAAAUCUGUUGAGAAUAGGGAGAAUAACUUACCCGUCGCUUUGAUUCUCUCCUAAACAAAUGUUUGAAUCCUAGGAUUUGGGUAGGAGUGUAAAGAGCAGUAGAGAAAAAGAAUAAACGUCGUGGACUUAGGGUUAUGGAAGGGGAAAAAGUAUGCAUUUAUAAGGAGUCUUGAGAAACCCUAUUUAAUAAGAAAAAAAUAACCCUUUUUCAAAACUAUCUCAUAAAUAACCUCUAUUUAUAAUUUAGUAUCCCUUUCUUAAUAAGAGUUAUAGGCCACCCAUAAUUAUCAAUGAAAGCCCAAUUUCCAUAAUUUAAUAUUAUGGAAAUUUGUGGCGUUACAAUUUCUCCCCUCCUAACAAAAAUUUCGUCCUCGAAAUUAAAAGGUUACCUUACGCAUGGAAGAGUAUUAUUUGUUCACAUCUAGAAGCUCUAGUACAAUAGAUUGUGAUGUUUGCAAUAAGGAGGUAAGUAUAUAUAUAUAACAUGUUAAAUGCAAGGGAAAAUGACACCAAUACUCUCAAAUUUUAAAAAUAGAUACAUCAAUGAUCAAUCCUCUCAAAUUUGAUCCACAAUAGUUGACGCCGCGCAUGGUGCUUGUCCAUUCUCAUUUUGUGAAACUGAUCAUGCCAUCAUGCAAACUUUAAAAAAUUUAAAAUGUUGGAUAUUCCGAACAAAUGAAAGUACUUAACAGUGAGCUCUAUGUAUCCAUUCUGGAAUAUCAGAAAUCUAAUAGCACAUUUGGACAAGACUGGUGGGGUCUAAGUUUCAUUUUCCUAAAAUUAAUUUGUUUCGGUUCAAAUUUCAACAAUACUAAAAUAUUAUUACUUUUUCCAACAGUUAUAGCCAAGCAUGAAUUAUUGUGACCAUGAGCUUUGGAAUCUGCGUUUUUGCUACGACCAUUUUAGUGAUGGGACUCCAGUCUGCUGCGGAUGCGUUCGAGUCUUAAUAAGUUGACGACUUAAAUUUGGGUGCAUUUGAUUGAAGAUGUAUGUAUGUAUAUAAAAGACGCAUAUAUACUUUAAAAUUUUAAAAAAAGAAAAAAAAUGUUUCU